UAGAGAAUCUUCCACAAUGGACGAAAGUCUGAUGGAGCAACGCCGCGUGAACGAUGAAGGCCUUCGGGUCGUAAAGUUCUGUUGUAAGGGAAGAACAAGUGCCGCAGGCAAUGGCGGCACCUUGACGGUACCUUGCGAGAAAGCCACGGCUAACUACGUGCCAGCAGCCGCGGUAAUACGUAGGUGGCAAGCGUUGUCCGGAAUUAUUGGGCGUAAAGCGCGCGCAGGCGGCCUCUUAAGUCUGAUGUGAAAGCCCCCGGCUCAACCGGGGAGGGCCAUUGGAAACUGGGAGGCUUGAGUAUAGGAGAGAAGAGUGGAAUUCCACGUGUAGCGGUGAAAUGCGUAGAGAUGUGGAGGAACACCAGUGGCGAAGGCGACUCUUUGGCCUAUAACUGACGCUGAGGCGCGAAAGCGUGGGGAGCAAACAGGAUUAGAUACCCUGGUAGUCCACGCCGUAAACGAUGAGUGCUAGGUGUUGGAGGGUUUCCGCCCUUCAGUGCUGAAGCUAACGCA
Molecule: ribosomal RNA, 513 nt
Filed under: uncultured bacterium
Lineage: Bacteria
Description: bacterial SSU rRNA
Rfam family: Bacterial small subunit ribosomal RNA
Source: RNAcentral